This 20-nucleotide transfer RNA is filed under the name Incilius melanochlorus (dark green toad). Its description in RNAcentral is "partial tRNA-Phe". Lineage: Eukaryota; Metazoa; Chordata; Amphibia; Anura; Bufonidae. The record is from RNAcentral.
CCUAAAAAGUUCUUUAAACA